Molecule: ribosomal RNA, 445 nt
Filed under: uncultured bacterium
Lineage: Bacteria
Description: bacterial SSU rRNA
Rfam family: Bacterial small subunit ribosomal RNA
Source: RNAcentral
GUCGAGGAUAUUUAGCAAUGGGGGAAACCCUGACUAUGUGACGCCGCGUGAGGGAUGAAGGCCUUCGGGUUGUAAACCUCUUUCGAUAGGGAAGAAACCUCUACCUAAUCAGUAGAGCUGACGGUACCUAGAGAAGAAGCCAUGGCCAACUCUGUGCCAGCAGCCGCGGUAAUACAGAGAUGGCGAGCGUUACUCGGAUUUAUUGGGUGUAAAGGGCAGGUAGGCGGCUAUGCAAGUUGGGGGUGAAAUCCUGUGGCUUAACCACAGAACUGCCUUCAAAACUGCAUGGCUUGAGGCUAGAAGAGGAGAGCGGAAUUCCCGGUGUAAGAGUGAAAUCUGUAGAUAUCGGGAGGAACACCAGUGGCGAAAGCGGCUCUCUGGUCUAGCCCUGACGCUAAGCUGCGAAAGCUAGGGGAGCAAACAGGAUUAGAAACCCUAGUAGUCC